UAGCAUAUCAAUAAGCGGAGGAAAAGAAACCAACAGGGAUUGCCCUAGUAACGGCGAGUGAAGCGGCAACAGCUCAAAUUUGAAAUCUGGCUCUCUUUGGGGGUCCGAGUUGUAAUUUGCAGAGGAUGCUUUGGCAUUGGCGGCGUUCUAAGUUCCUUGGAACAGGACAUCACAGAGGGUGAGAAUCCCGUACGUGGUCGCCUGCCUUUGCCGUGUAAAGCUCCUUCGACGAGUCGAGUUGUUUGGGAAUGCAGCUCUAAAUGGGAGGUAAAUUUCUUCUAAAGCUAAAUACCGGCCAGAGACCGAUAGCGCACAAGUAGAGUGAUCGAAAGAUGAAAAGUACUUUGGAAAGAGAGUCAAAAAGCACGUGAAAUUGUUGAAAGGGAAGCGCUUGCAGCCAGACUUCCCGCAGUUGCUCACCUAGGCUUUGGCCUGGGGCACUCUUCUGCGGGCAGGCCAGCAUCAGUUUGGGCGGUUGGAUAAAGGCCUCUGUCACGUAUCUCCCUCCGGGGUGACCUUAUAGGGGAGGCGUAAUGCAGCCAGCCCGGACUGAGGUCCGCGCAUCUGCUAGGAUGCUGGCGUAAUGGCUGUAAGCGGCCCGUCUUGAAACACGGACCAAGGAGUCUAACAUCUAUGCGAGUGUUUGGGUGUCAAGCCCGGGCGCGCAAUGAAAGUGAACGGAGGUGGGAACCCUUUGGGUGCACCAUCGACCGAUCCUGAUGUCUUCGGAUGGAUUUGAGUAAGAGCAUAGCUGUUGGGACCCGAAAGAUGGUGAACUAUGCUUGAAUAGGGUGAAGCCAGAGGAAACUCUGGUGGAGGCUCGCAGCGGUUCUGACGUGCAAAUCGAUCGUCAAAUUUGGGCAUAGGGGCGAAAGACUAAUCGAACCAUCUAGUAGCUGGUUCCUGCCGAAUUU
Molecule: ribosomal RNA, 914 nt
Filed under: Didymosphaeria variabile
Lineage: Eukaryota; Fungi; Ascomycota; Dothideomycetes; Pleosporales; Didymosphaeriaceae
Description: eukaryotic LSU rRNA
Rfam family: Eukaryotic large subunit ribosomal RNA
Source: RNAcentral